CCUACGGGGCGCAGCAGUGUGGAAUAUUGGUCAAUGGGCGCAAGCCUUACCCAGCAACUCCUCUUUAAUGAAGAUGUCUUUCGGUUUUUAAACUUCUUUUCUCAGUGACGAAGAAAGUGACGGUACCUGAGGAAUAAGCCACGGCUAACUACGUGCCAGCAGCCGCGGUAAUACGUAGGUGGCAAGCGUUAUCCGGAUUUACUGGGUGUAAAGGGCGUGUAGGCGGGAAAGCAAGUCAUAUGUUAAAACCACGGGCUCAACCUGUGGCCUGCAUUUGAAACUGUUUUUCUUGAGUACUGGAGAGG
This 305-nucleotide ribosomal RNA is filed under the name uncultured bacterium. RNAcentral's name for it is "bacterial SSU rRNA". It matches the Rfam family "Bacterial small subunit ribosomal RNA", at positions 338 to 657 of the family's 1533-position model. The record is from RNAcentral.